RNAcentral lists this long non-coding RNA (1914 nucleotides) under Solanum tuberosum (potato). RNAcentral's name for it is "long non-coding RNA (STUB_LNC004984)". The record is from RNAcentral. Lineage: Eukaryota; Viridiplantae; Streptophyta; Magnoliopsida; Solanales; Solanaceae.
CGUUAUGGUGUCACUGCAUUUGUCAUAAGCAACACGUUAUCUGCAAUGCCUUCCUAAUAUCGAUUGCAUUUCUUUCUGCUACUGUCUGCUACUUCAUGAACUGGUGAGAGUCAUGCAUAACUGAGCAAGCAUGCCUCAAUCUCGAAAUAGUUGGGUCGAUUAUAUUGAUUCUCUGGAUAGAAAUUGGAAUUCCUGAGAACUUAAGGGAUGACUAAUUGAUAAAUAAAUAUGUACCAUUAUUUCCCCCACCCACCCCACAAAUUGACCUUGGGUUUCUCAUAAUUAAACAUGAAAGAACACCUUCAUAUAUCCCCACUCCUAAAGUUCCUUUUUCUUGUAACACUUUGAUCAAAGUUGUGGGCCUAUUUUAUACAGCACCAUAUUUUGUCCUUUGAUGAAAAGUACUGUUUGGUACCACAAUUAACAACUUCCCCUCUUCCUCUUCAACAAAAAUAUGUAUCCUACCACAGGUAUUUUAUUUUCUUCAUGUUUUUUGAUUAGUUCUUUUAAAUUCUUCAAUUGAUUCUUUUUGUAUUUGUUGCUUCUUUUUUCUUUUCUUUUUUUGGCUUGGAUUAUGGUUGAAAUUAAACAAGGACAAUUACUUUUUUCCAUCAAUCUUGAACUUUGAUCAUAGAGAGGGAGGGGGGGGGGGGGGGGGGGUGUUGAUCACUUGUUGCAUUGGCAAGUGGUCACAAAAUUUUAGGACUGCUGUGUGUGGACAAUUUUAAAGAGAAAAAUUGGACAAAUGGAAAGAAAUCACCUACUGUUUUAUUUCUGCUGGGAUUUCGGGCCUGUUUGGAUGGGCUUAUAAAAAGUAACUUAUAAGUCAAAAGGUAAAAGCCAUAGGGGUGCUAAAAAUAAGCUAAUCCAAAUGGGCACUUAAACCUGAAACCUCGUGGUUUUCAAUCCACUUCAUUGACCACUAGGUCACUCCCUUGGGUGCUAAGUAUGGAUUUUAUCCGAGUCAUUAUUAGAAAUCAUUGUGAGCUUUGAUACUUGCGGACUUUAUUUCACUUGAAGUUUAGUUGACGUUGAUCAUUUCUAGUUAUAAACUAUGGGUUGGGUCUUUUAGCGAUUAUUCAGAAAUUCGUCUGAAAUUCUACUAUGCUGGACACUUUUCACUGAAAUUCAAUUAAUUUCUGUUCUUUUUUCAUUGUAAUAGGUCAUUGUACAAUUAGGUGGCUAUGUUGGAAAUAUUCUGAGUUUCUGCCAAUACUGUACUCAUUUAACCUUCAGCCCACCUUCUAUAUUCCUUUGUUUCGUUUGGUUGUUUGGUGUGAUUUCUGAAGGCUUGAUUGUGAAUUUUCUCCAUCACUGGGAUUUCUAUUGCAAUUUGCGCCUUUAAGUCUUAUUUCUAAGAAGUUAUGGAUUUUAUGCACUCAAUAGUACUCUUUUUCCAUAAUAAAGAAGAAAGCGAAACUAGUGUUGACAAAAAUUCUCUCUUCUUCAGGUUUUGAUUUGACUCCAUCCAUGGUUGCUGACACCCUGCUAUCAGAGCUUUCAAAAUAUAGUGUUCCAAUAGUCAGAUGCACUAAAGCUAAUGCUGAUUCGCAGAGUCACUCUUCUUCAAUUAUAGACCACAACAAAGAUGGCGGUAAGACUUGAAUUGGCCUAAUUUGAAGUUUUUAAUUGAAUGCCAAGUUUUGAGACAUCAUAGUUACCAUUAUGGCAAAAAGAAUGACAUCUCUCUUUAUCUCAUAAAAAUACUUCGAACUUCUCAUUUAUCCUUAAUGAGAUGAUUUAAAGCCACAAAAAUUUUAAUGGCUUGGCUUGUUUUAGACCACAAGUUCAAUAAAUCUUUCUUUUUCUCUUAAAUUUUGUGCCUAGUCAAACACCUUCAUAUAAAUUGGAACGGAGGGGAUAGUAUUUAUCUAAUCAUUUAGUUCCUUCUGUCAUUAGUUAACAUUAUCGGUC